UACAGAGGGGGCAAGCGUUGUUCGGAAUUACUGGGCGUAAAGGGCGCGUAGGCGGCCUGCUAAGUCGAACGUGAAAUCCCCGAGCUCAACUCGGGAACUGCGUCCGAUACUGGCAGGCUUGAAUCCGGGAGAGGGAUGCGGAAUUCCGGGUGUAGCGGUGAAAUGCGUAGAUAUCUGGAGGAACACCGGUGGCGAAGGCGGCAUCCUGGACCGGCAUUGACGCUGAGGCGCGAAAGCGUGGGGAGCAAACAGG
This 253-nucleotide ribosomal RNA is filed under the name uncultured bacterium. RNAcentral's name for it is "partial 16S ribosomal RNA". It matches the Rfam family "Bacterial small subunit ribosomal RNA", at positions 524 to 776 of the family's 1533-position model. The record is from RNAcentral.